AGAGUUUGAUCAUGGCUCAGGAUGAACGCUGGCGGCGUGCCUAACACAUGCAAGUCGAACGAAGCUCCUGCGACAGAUUCCUUCGGGAUGAAGAUGCUUGAGACUUAGUGGCGGACGGGUGAGUAACGCGUGGGUAACCUGCCCUGUACUGGGGGACAACAGUUAGAAAUGACUGCUAAUACCGCAUAAGCCUACAGAGUCGCAUGACUCAGCAGGAAAAAUUCCGGUGGUACAGGAUGGGCCGCGUCUGAUUAGCUAGUUGGUGAGGUAACGGCUCACCAAGGCGACGAUCAGUAGCCGGCUUGAGAGAGUGAACGGCCACGAUUGGGACUGAGACACGGCCCAAACUCCGUACGGGAGGCA
RNAcentral lists this ribosomal RNA (363 nucleotides) under uncultured bacterium. Its description in RNAcentral is "bacterial SSU rRNA". It matches the Rfam family "Bacterial small subunit ribosomal RNA", at positions 8 to 350 of the family's 1533-position model. The record is from RNAcentral.